Mytilus californianus (California mussel) is the source of this 1719-nucleotide long non-coding RNA. RefSeq lists it as uncharacterized. NCBI's taxonomy places the organism in Eukaryota, Metazoa, Mollusca, Bivalvia, Mytilida, Mytilidae. The record is from RefSeq and is a predicted model, not a curated record. The transcript has 3 exons.
UCACCUGGCCCGAAGGGCCAAGUGAGCUUUUCUCAUCACUUGGCGUCCGUCGUCCGUCGUCGGCGUAAACUUUUUACAUUUUGAACUUCUUCUAGAGAACCACUGAAUGGAAUGAAACCAAACAUGGCAUGAAUGUUCCUUAUGAGGUGCUGACCAAGUGUUGUUACUUUGUAGCCGAUCCAUCAUCCAAGAUGGCCGCCAGCGGGGGACUUAGUUUAACAUAGGACCCUAUGGGAAAUGCAUACAAAUGACUUCUUUUAGAGAACCACUGAAUGGAAUGAAACAAAACAUAGCAUGAAUGUUCCUUACAAGGUGCUGACCAAGUGUUGUUACUUUGUAGCCGUUCCAUCAUCCAAAAUGGCCGCCAGUGAGGGACUUAGUUUAACAUAGGACCCUAUGAGAAAUACAUACAAAUGUCUUCUUUUAGAGAACCACUGAAUGGAAUGAAACCUAACAUGGCAAGAAUGUUCCUUAUGAGGUGCUGACCAAGUGUUGUUACUUUGAAGCCGAUCCAUCAUCCAAGAUGGCAACCAGCGGGGGACUUAGUUUAACAUAGGAUCCUAUGGGAAAUACAUACAAAUGUUUUCUUUUAGAGAACCACUGAAUGCAAUGAAACCAAACAUGGCAUGAAUGUUCCUUAUGAGGUGCUGACCGAGUGUUGUUACUUUGAAGCCGAUCCAUAAUCCAAGAUGGCCGCCAGCGGGGGACUUAGUUUAACAUGGGACCCUAUGGGAAAUACAUACAAACGUCUUCUUUUAGAGAACCACUGAAUGGAAUGAAACCAAACAUGGCAAGAAUGUUCCUUAUGAGGUGCUGACCAAGUGUUGUUACUUUGAAGCCGAUCCAUCAACCAAGAUGGCAGCCAGCGGGGGACUUAGUUUAACAUAGGAUCCUAUGGGAAAUACAUACAAAUGUUUUCUUUUAGAGAACCACUGAAUGGAAUGAAACCAAACAUGGCAUGAAUGUUCCUUAUGAGGUGCUGACCAAGUGUUGUUACUUUGUAGCCGAUCCAUCAUCCAAGAUGGCCGCCAGCGGGGGACUUAGUUUAACAAAGGACCCUAUGGGAAAUGCAUACAAAUGACUUCUUUUAGAGAACCACUGAAUGGAAUGAAACCAAACAUGGCAAGAAUGUUCCUUAUGAGGUGCUGACCAAGUGUUGUUACUUUGAAGCCGAUCCAUCAACCAAGAUGGCAGCCAGCGGGGGACUUAGUUUAACAUAGGAUCCUAUGGGAAAUACAUACAAAUGUUUUCUUUUAGAGAACCACUGAAUGGAAUGAAACCAAACAUGGCAUGAAUGUUCCUUAUGAGGUGCUGACCAAGUGUUGUUACUUUGUAGCCGAUCCAUCAUCCAAGAUGGCCGCCAGCGGGGGACUUAGUUUAACAAAGGACCCUAUGGGAAAUGCAUACAAAUGACUUCUUUUAGAGAACCACUGAAUGGAAUGAAACCAAACAUGGCAUGAAUGUUUCUUAUGAGGUGCUGACCGAGUGUUGUUACUUUGAAGCCGAUCCAUAAUCCAAGAUGGCAGCCAGCGGGGGACUUAGUUUAACAAAGGACCCUAUGGGAAAUGCAUACAAAUGUCUUCUUUUAGAGAACCACUGAAUGGAAUGAAACAAAACAUAGCAUGAAUGUUCAUUAGGAGGUGCUGACCAAGUGUUGUUACUUUGUAGCCGAUCCAUCAUCCAAGAUGGCCGCCAGCGGGGGACUUAGUUUAACAUAGG